GUUAAAUGGUGUGUUAUUAUAGUGGAGGUCUUGUGUUCAAAUCUCUAUGCAGGCAAGGGUAUUAUUUUUUUCUCAGAUUUCAAGAUAGAGUUGUGUAAUAAGGGAUUCUAAGUAGUGGAUGUGUAGUGGGAAUUAGGGGAGAAGAUUAAGGGAUUUUAGGGGUUAUCGGGAUUUUAUUUUAUUUUUUUCCCAUAAUCAAAUUUUGACUCUCUUUUCCAAAAAAAUUCUUCCGUCUAUUCUUCUUUCUCUCCUCUUGCUAAAAUUCUCUGAGUUUUUCCAUCUUUCUCUUCUUUUUCUUCUUCUUGAUUUUUCCUAAUCAAUUUAUUUUCCUUCGUUUUCGCACGCGGUUAG
RNAcentral lists this long non-coding RNA (351 nucleotides) under Gossypium raimondii (Peruvian cotton). RNAcentral describes it as "long non-coding RNA (GRAI_LNC005724)". The record is from RNAcentral. Lineage: Eukaryota; Viridiplantae; Streptophyta; Magnoliopsida; Malvales; Malvaceae.